GGAGGAUAUCAACGCCAUGGAGAUGGAGGACGACAAGAGAGACCUGAUAUCCAGAGAGAUCAGUAAAUUCAGAGACACACACAAGUGUUCAUUGGGUGACUAGAGCAAGAUGAAUCUCACAAUCUCUGCUUGAGGAUAGGAUGUAAGUAUGAUCCUCCAUUUCUUCUCUACUCAUGUUGGGCGCCCCCUGCUGGAGGCUCUGCACAGGGGCAACUGGCUCUCAGCUCACUGUGAAUACACUUAAUAUAAAAUGUGGGGUUUUUGGGGAAACAAACUGGAUUCAUACAGAUUUCUGGCGAUGCACAGGUGUAAGGGCAGCUCAGUGAACCUCUGCAGUUCCUCACAUGAUAAAUGACGUGUUUGAGGAACAAGCACAGCCUGUAUGAGCCUAACCACUGCAGAGUUUGAACUGCAGCAUCUAGUGUUAUGAAGCAGGGAGCGCCCGUCCACAGCACUCUGAGUCUGAAGACACGCAAGGUGAGUGGAUUUAUUUCAGUUUUGUUUUCUUUCUCCUGGUCUGUGAUCCAGUGACUCCAGCCCCACUA
Notothenia coriiceps (black rockcod) is the source of this 545-nucleotide long non-coding RNA. RefSeq lists it as uncharacterized. Lineage: Eukaryota; Metazoa; Chordata; Actinopteri; Perciformes; Nototheniidae. The record is from RefSeq and is a predicted model, not a curated record. The transcript has 2 exons.